UACGUAGGGAGCAAGCGUUGUUCGGAUUCAUUGGGCGUAAAGCGCGCGCAGGCGGCCCGGUAAGUCGGAUGUGAAAUCCCACGGCUCAACCGUGGAACUGCAUUCGAUACUGUCGGGCUAGAGGCAGGUAGGGGAGAUCGGAAUUCCUGGUGUAGCGGUGAAAUGCGCAGAUAUCAGGAGGAACACCGGUGGCGAAGGCGGAUCUCUGGGCCUUACCUGACGCUCAGGUGCGAAAGCUAGGGGAGCGAACAGG
This 253-nucleotide ribosomal RNA is filed under the name uncultured bacterium. RNAcentral describes it as "partial 16S ribosomal RNA". It matches the Rfam family "Bacterial small subunit ribosomal RNA", at positions 524 to 776 of the family's 1533-position model. The record is from RNAcentral.